Bos taurus (domestic cattle) is the source of this 72-nucleotide non-coding RNA. NCBI's taxonomy places the organism in Eukaryota, Metazoa, Chordata, Mammalia, Artiodactyla, Bovidae. The record is from Rfam.
UCCCUGGUGGCUCAGAGGUUAAAGUGUCUUCCUGGAAUGCAGGAGACCCAGGUUUGAUUCCUGGGUCGGGAA